RNAcentral lists this ribosomal RNA (1369 nucleotides) under uncultured bacterium. RNAcentral's name for it is "bacterial SSU rRNA". It matches the Rfam family "Bacterial small subunit ribosomal RNA", at positions 28 to 1381 of the family's 1533-position model. The record is from RNAcentral.
GACGAACGCUGGCGGCGUGCCUAAUACAUGCAAGUAGAACGCUGAAGAGAGGAGCUUGCUCUUCUUGGAUGAGUUGCGAACGGGUGAGUAACGCGUAGGUAACCUGCCUGGUAGCGGGGGAUAACUAUUGGAAACGAUAGCUAAUACCGCAUAAAAUUGAUUAUUGCAUGAUAAUUAAUUGAAAGAUGCAAUUGCAUCACUACCAGAUGGACCUGCGUUGUAUUAGCUAGUUGGUGAGGUAACGGCUCACCAAGGCGACGAUACAUAGCCGACCUGAGAGGGUGAUCGGCCACACUGGGACUGAGACACGGCCCAGACUCCUACGGGAGGCAGCAGUAGGGAAUCUUCGGCAAUGGGGGGAACCCUGACCGAGCAACGCCGCGUGAGUGAAGAAGGUUUUCGGAUCGUAAAGCUCUGUUGUAAGAGAAGAACGGGUGUGAGAGUGGAAAGUUCACACUGUGACGGUAUCUUACCAGAAAGGGACGGCUAACUACGUGCCAGCAGCCGCGGUAAUACGUAGGUCCCGAGCGUUGUCCGGAUUUAUUGGGCGUAAAGCGAGCGCAGGCGGUUAGAUAAGUCUGAAGUUAAAGGCUGUGGCUUAACCAUAGUAUGCUUUGGAAACUGUUUAACUUGAGUGCAGAAGGGGAGAGUGGAAUUCCAUGUGUAGCGGUGAAAUGCGUAGAUAUAUGGAGGAACACCGGUGGCGAAAGCGGCUCUCUGGUCUGUAACUGACGCUGAGGCUCGAAAGCGUGGGGGGCAAACAGGAUUAGAUACCCUGGUAGUCCACGCCGUAAACGAUGAGUGCUAGGUGUUAGGCCCUUUCCGGGGCUUAGUGCCGCAGCUAACGCAUUAAGCACUCCGCCUGGGGAGUACGACCGCAAGGUUGAAACUCAAAGGAAUUGACGGGGGCCCGCACAAGCGGUGGAGCAUGUGGUUUAAUUCGAAGCAACGCGAAGAACCUUACCAGGUCUUGACAUCCCUCUGACCGCUCUAGAGAUAGAGUUUUCCUUCGGGACAGAGGUGACAGGUGGUGCAUGGUUGUCGUCAGCUCGUGUCGUGAGAUGUUGGGUUAAGUCCCGCAACGAGCGCAACCCCUAUUGUUAGUUGCCAUCAUUCAGUUGGGCACUCUAGCGAGACUGCCGGUAAUAAACCGGAGGAAGGUGGGGAUGACGUCAAAUCAUCAUGCCCCUUAUGACCUGGGCUACACACGUGCUACAAUGGCUGGUACAACGAGUCGCAAGCCGGUGACGGCAAGCUAAUCUCUGAAAGCCAGUCUCAGUUCGGAUUGUAGGCUGCAACUCGCCUACAUGAAGUCGGAAUCGCUAGUAAUCGCGGAUCAGCACGCCGCGGUGAAUACGUUCCCGGGCCU